RNAcentral lists this ribosomal RNA (262 nucleotides) under Anaerocolumna xylanovorans DSM 12503. RNAcentral describes it as "23S rRNA. Bacterial LSU". It matches the Rfam family "Bacterial large subunit ribosomal RNA", at positions 2559 to 2820 of the family's 2925-position model. Lineage: Bacteria; Bacillati; Bacillota; Clostridia; Lachnospirales; Lachnospiraceae. The record is from RNAcentral.
UAGGUCCCAAGGGUUGGGCUGUUCGCCCAUUAAAGCGGUACGCGAGCUGGGUUCAGAACGUCGUGAGACAGUUCGGUCCCUAUCCGGCGCGGGCGUAGGAUAUUUGAGAGGAGCUGACCUUAGUACGAGAGGACCGGGUUGGACUGACCUCUGGUGUACCGGUUGCACUGCCAAGUGCAUGGCCGGGUAGCCAAGUCGGGAAGGGAUAAACGCUGAAGGCAUCUAAGCGUGAAGCCCCCCUCAAGAUGAGAUAUCCCAUAGC